Molecule: long non-coding RNA, 583 nt
Organism: Triplophysa rosa
Lineage: Eukaryota; Metazoa; Chordata; Actinopteri; Cypriniformes; Nemacheilidae
Exons: 3
Source: RefSeq, a predicted model, not a curated record
UUCUCGGGUCACGACCAGUGGUCACGAGACAUUACUGUCCGCGCCCGCAUGAAACUUUCGACUGUAAAUCAAUAACGGUCUCAAUUUCAAUGGAUGGACAGUCAUAACAUCAGUUUUCACUUGUAUGGAGUCGACCACAACUGUUAUUAUGAACAUCGGUAAUAUAAAGUAUUAUAAGUAGAUCGUGUUUUUCCGUAGGAUCCAUGAGAAGUCAGUGACUGCAAGACAAAACUUAUUUUUCAAAUCAUAGUGUCUGGUGUAUUCGUGAUAAAUGGAGGAGGCUUACACAGCGCUGUACCAGGGGUUUCUUCACCUCCAGUCAGUCUGCUUAAAACAAGCACAGCAUCUACAGCAUCUUUCUGACAUAAUACAAAGACAGCAUGAUUCGUCCUCAGCACCUAACUUGGAGGUCCCUCCAUGCCAGUGUGCACAGUCACAUCCUGCAGAAGAACCUCAAAGGCUUUCCACUGGAUCACAUUGUCAAAGUAGAAUAUUAUUGUUUUAUUCAUGUUAUACUUUGGCCUUUCACUUUCUCUUUUUUUGGGAGGGAAAACCUUAACAAUUACUCUUAGUCUUGGAUGCA